RNAcentral lists this ribosomal RNA (468 nucleotides) under uncultured bacterium. RNAcentral describes it as "partial 16S ribosomal RNA". It matches the Rfam family "Bacterial small subunit ribosomal RNA", at positions 28 to 507 of the family's 1533-position model. The record is from RNAcentral.
GACGAACGCUGGCGGCGUGCUUAACACAUGCAAGUCGAACGGAAAGGCCCUGCUUUUGUGGGGUGCUCGAGUGGCGAACGGGUGAGUAACACGUGAGUAACCUGCCCUUGACUUUGGGAUAACUUCAGGAAACUGGGGCUAAUACCGGAUAGGAGCUCCUGCUGCAUGGUGGGGGUUGGAAAGUUUCGGCGGUUGGGGAUGGACUCGCGGCUUAUCAGCUUGUUGGUGGGGUAGUGGCUUACCAAGGCUUUGACGGGUAGCCGGCCUGAGAGGGUGACCGGCAACAUUGGGAAUGAGAUACGGCCCAGACUCCUACGGGAGGCAGCAGUGGGGAAUAUUGCACAAUGGGCGGAAGCCUGAUGCAGCAACGCCGCGUGCGGGAUGACGGCCUUCGGGUUGUAAACCGCUUUCGCCUGUGACGAAGCGUGAGUGACGGUAAUGGGUAAAGAAGCACCGGCUAACUACGUG